Molecule: unclassified non-coding RNA, 211 nt
Filed under: plant metagenome
Description: partial contains small subunit ribosomal RNA, internal transcribed spacer 1, and 5.8S ribosomal RNA
Source: RNAcentral
UUUCCGUAGGUGAACCUGCGGAAGGAUUACUCAUAAUAAAGUGUUUUAUGGCACUUUUUAAAAAUCCAUAUCCACCUUGUGUGCAAUGUUAGAUCUCGUCAAUCUUGGCGAGAUUUUUAUACAUCAACUCAUUCUUUAACUAAUUUGUCUGAAAAAUAUUAUGAAUACUUAAUUCAAAAUACAACUUUCAACAACGGAUCUCUUGGCUCUC